Molecule: ribosomal RNA, 497 nt
Filed under: uncultured bacterium
Lineage: Bacteria
Description: partial 16S ribosomal RNA
Rfam family: Bacterial small subunit ribosomal RNA
Source: RNAcentral
GAUGAACGCUGGCGGCGUGCCUAAUACAUGCCAGUCGAGCGAACGGACGAGAAGCUUGCUUCUCUGAUGUUAGCGGCGGACGGGUGAGUAACACGUGGAUAACCUACCUAUAAGACUGGGAUAACUUCGGGGAACCGGAGCUAAUACCGGAUAAUAUUUUGAACCGCAUGGUUCAAAAGUGAAAGACGGUCUUGCUGUCACUUAUAGAUGGAUCCGCGCUGCAUUAGCUAGUUGGUAAGGUAACGGCUUACCAAGGCAACGAUGCAUAGCCGACCUGAGAGGGUGAUCGGCCACACUGGAACUGAGACACGGUCCAGACUCCUACGGGAGGCAGCAGUAGGGAAUCUUCCACAAUGGGCGAAAGCCUGACGGAGCAACGCCGCGUGAGUGAUGAAGGUCUUCGGAUCGUAAAACUCUGUUAUUAGGGAAGAACAUAUGUGUAAGUAACUGUGCACAUCUUGACGGUACCUAAUCAGAAAGCCACGGCUAACUACGUG